AUUUUCUUAGUAUAAACAGUAUAGCUGACUUCCAAUCAGCAGGCUCUGGUAAAAACUAGAAGGAAAUA
This 68-nucleotide transfer RNA is filed under the name Trichys fasciculata (long-tailed porcupine). RNAcentral describes it as "tRNA-Gly". The record is from RNAcentral. Lineage: Eukaryota; Metazoa; Chordata; Mammalia; Rodentia; Hystricidae.